GGUGGACUGGCAAAGUGGACUGCA
This 24-nucleotide non-coding RNA is filed under the name Arabidopsis thaliana (thale cress). Lineage: Eukaryota; Viridiplantae; Streptophyta; Magnoliopsida; Brassicales; Brassicaceae. The record is from RNAcentral.